GAACGUGGCCUCCUUUUCUCCGUAAAAUGACGCUAAGGCGCGAAAGCGUGGGGAGCCAAUCAGGAUUAGUUACCCUGGUAGUCCACGCCGUAAACGAUGAGUGCUAAAGUGUUAGAGGGUUUCCGCCCUUUAGUGCUGCAGCAAACGCAUUAAGCACUCCGCCUGGGGAGUACGGCCGCAAGGCUGAAACUCAAAGGAAUUGACGGGGGCCCGCACAAGCGGUGGAGCAUGUGGUUUAAUUUGAAGCAACGCGAAGAACCUUACCAGGUCUUGACAUCUCCUGACAAUCCUAGAGAUAGGACGUUCCCCUUCGGGGGACAGGAUGACAGGUGGUGCAUGGUUGUCGUCAGCUCGUGUCGUGAGAUGUUGGGUUAAGUCCCGCAACGAGCGCAACCCUUGAUCUUAGUUGCCAGCAUUUAGUUGGGCACUCUAAGGUGACUGCCGGUGACAAACCGGAGGAAGGUGGGGAUGACGUCAAAUCAUCAUGCCCCUUAUGACCUGGGCUACACACGUGCUACAAUGGAUGGUACAAAGGGCAGCAAAACCGCGAGGUCGAGCCAAUCCCAUAAAACCAUUCUCAGUUCGGAUUGUAGGCUGCAACUCGCCUACAUGAAGCUGGAAUCGCUAGUAAUCGCGGAUCAGCAUGCCGCGGUGAAUACGUUCCCGGGCCUUGUACACACCGCCCGUCACACCACGAGAGUUUGUAACACCCGAAGUCGGUGGGGUAACCCUUCUGGAGCCAGCCGCUAACGA
RNAcentral lists this ribosomal RNA (753 nucleotides) under Niallia nealsonii. Its description in RNAcentral is "bacterial SSU rRNA". It matches the Rfam family "Bacterial small subunit ribosomal RNA", at positions 717 to 1462 of the family's 1533-position model. Lineage: Bacteria; Bacillati; Bacillota; Bacilli; Caryophanales; Bacillaceae. The record is from RNAcentral.